AGUGAACGCUGGCGGUAGGCCUAACACAUGCAAGUCGAACGGCAGCACAGUAAGAGCUUGCUCUUACGGGUGGCGAGUGGCGGACGGGUGAGGAAUACAUCGGAAUCUACUUUUUCGUGGGGGAUAACGUAGGGAAAUUUACGCUAAUACCGCAUACGACCUACGGGUGAAAGCAGGGGAUCUUCGGACCUUGCGCGAUUGAAUGAGCCGAUGUCGGAUUAGCUAGUUGGCGGGGUAAAGGCCCACCAAGGCGACGAUCCGUAGCUGGUCUGAGAGGAUGAUCAGCCACACUGGAACUGAGACACGGUCAAGACUCCUACGGGAGGCAGCAGUGGGGAAUAUUGGACAAUGGGCGCAAGCCUGAUCCAGCCAUACCGCGUGGGUGAAGAAGGCAUUCGGGUUGUAAAGCCCUUUUGUUGGGAAAGAAAAGCAGCAGGUUAAUACCCCGCUGUUCUGACGGUACCCAAAGAAUAAGCACCGGCUAACUUCGUG
RNAcentral lists this ribosomal RNA (492 nucleotides) under uncultured bacterium. RNAcentral describes it as "partial 16S ribosomal RNA". It matches the Rfam family "Bacterial small subunit ribosomal RNA", at positions 29 to 507 of the family's 1533-position model. The record is from RNAcentral.